This is a long non-coding RNA of Pezoporus occidentalis (night parrot), 2909 nucleotides long. RefSeq lists it as uncharacterized. The record is from RefSeq and is a predicted model, not a curated record. The transcript has 10 exons. Lineage: Eukaryota; Metazoa; Chordata; Aves; Psittaciformes; Psittacidae.
UCUCUGCAGAGUGAACGGCCCAUGCUGCUCCUGACGCAGCCUUGAGAGACUUUGCUGUUAGAAGUUUACUGGUUGCAGUUCUUAGGACUACUCCUUCCUGUGAUUUGUGUGAAGACAGUUUAGGUUGAGUUGCCCAAGAGAAAGUCACUGGAUGUGAUGUGACCUGCUCUGAAGAGGUUUCGAAAAGUGAUAUGCACAAAAUAUGUUAGUUUCCUGCAGUUACUGAGGCAGAAAACUUGAUGUCUGACCACAAGCACUGGAGGAUUGCCGUGGCACAAUCUGAGGAAUUCUUGCCUUCAGGAAAGAAAGGAACCCUGGUACCGUGUUAUGUGCUGCACGCCAUGAAGGUAUCCAGUGUACAGAGUUGAAGAUAUUCACAAAGCAAGGAAGGAGGUGUUUGUUGCAGCAGAUUCUGCAGAGUUAAUACAGGGAUUUUCCAGCUAAAAAUCUGGAGGUUGCACAAGUUGGUGGUGGAGUGACUCUUCAGUGCAAGGACAGACUGAGAGAGAAAAUGGAGACCUGCUCUAUUUACAAAGAACUGUUGAAGGCACGAAGUGUGGACCUCUGGCCCUAUGGAAAAGAGGUACUCCAGGCCUGGUGAAAAGAGUACAAUAUAUUCUGCUGACAAAGGCUGAAGCCUCAUUUCUGCUCCUGCAUUUCCCUGGAUGUCAAGAACUUGCAGCUGACUUUUAUAUGGGAACAUCUUUUGGAUCGUACCCUUGGAUUACACCCAUGAAUGGAAAGGCAAUAGAUCCUACCCACGCCUAAACUCUCACUCAAGGCGAAGAGGAAAUCUGUGCCAAAGAAAGCGAGCUGCAGUAGGAAAGUGUUCUUUGCAGCUGUGUGCUGAGUGGAUGUGUAAAGAGGUAAUGCUUCAAUUGCAAGGCAGAGGAAAAGGGAACACUGUUUUCACAGCAGAUAUUUUCCAGCCCACUGAUGUAAAACCCCCUUGUUUCCUUAUUAGAGGAUACGACGCAGACUCUUCCACAGUUGCAGAGACCCUAGGCAAAGCGAAUGUUCACAUGCAUGCGAUGAAGCUGCAUCACAACAGCUGCAGGUUUAAGCAGUCCUUUCUGCUCUUGCAUUGUGGAAGUCAUCCUGCUGCGCAGCACUGUGAUUGAGAGACGCUGAUCCACCCGAUCUGCUCCUGGUUGAUGGGUACUUGUGAAAAUUGACCCACUGAGCCGUCUUCAAGAGGCAUAGGAGGAAAUGUAUUUGCUCUCCUUUCGAUUGCUGAAGACAAGGUUAUAGUGAUAAAGGAAAAAUAAUGAAAGCAAAGUAAAAGUGUGGAGUCUCUGCUGACUAUGUGAGCUGGCUGCUACAAACCUGGACUGCAGCUAGGAGGAGGGCUGGACAUAUAAUUCCCUGCUGUUUUUUUCUUAGUCUUUCACAAGAUGUCUCAGAUGAAACAGGAAAGAAACUGGAAACCUCAAAUGCCACAGUGUGGUUCAGAUUAUGUUAUCUAUUCACUGUGAAAACCCUGCUUCUGCAUGGGCUCAUAAUCACAAGUGAGCCAGUGUUCAUACAUGUAUUAUUAAUGCAACUGUGGAUUUAAGUACUAUCGAUAGUGUGGGGGGACGCAGUAAUAGGGGUGACUUUCAUGCAAAUGGUGUGAAAAGCACAGCUUCUUAGACAUAUAAACCAAUCAGAAAAUACCACUGCACAUAUUUCAUCAUUACAAACACUAAUAUUCAUCAUCUCUGUCAUUAUGCAACAGGCCUUUAGUAGUAGACCCAAUGGCACAAAUAAGGUGGAACUAAUGCCUGUUGUAUACAAAAUGCAGCUUCAAGUACAGGUAGCCUAGGCUAGACUCCUACUCACAUUGCUCUGAAAGUAACAGUCUGGAAUGAAAGCUCUUGAAAAAAACCCUGAAAUCAAUGCUUUUCAACUCGCUGGGAGUUGCUUAAAAUGCAUGUGUUAGUUCUGGUCUAAAAGAUUUAGGGAGUUGCUUCUGAUGGGAAAAAUAGCGUACAGAAAACCCAAAAUGCCUUAAUUCUUUCAUGUAGACAACUGUCAAGGUUCAGGCAUGAGAGCAAGUUUUAUUGCUUUGAUCUUCAGUUCAGUAAGGGCAGAAAUGCCAUUCAGCUGCCAUCUGAAUUGCUAAACUUUGGUUUGAUUUCCAAGUCAUCCCUAAAUCCAGUCCAAAUUGUCCUCUGGAUUUUAUCACUCUCACUGAACAAAUCAUUUAGAAGUCUACUGUUGAUAGGUUUCCAACACUCUCCUAUUCAAAGCAUUUGACUUCAGUGCAUCCCAGGACAGGAAUGGCGUAGAACCUGACCUUGAGAGGAUUCAAAGGCAUGCAUUUCUUUUUUUUUUAUUAAUGAGAGAUUAUUGCUGCCAGCAUUUCUGAGGUUGCAUUCAGAGCAAUCUAUGUUGAUAGCCCACUUAAAAAUACAAAACACGUAGUUCCAAAACAUCCACUGUUGCCCUACAAAGUCAUUUGUUGUUUUACGUAUUUUAUGCAUAGAUGAUAGUACAUUUACUUGGUUACAUUUUUUACGUAACCAGCUCCCUUCUGUAAAGAAUAAGCUUUCAGGCAUUCAAAGAUUCUGUUUUCAAGAGGGUCAGGAGCCUUUCUGGUGUUCUAAAUUUUCAGUAAAUGAGAUAUUUGGUAAAGUAAGAUCUCUGCUUUGUUUCUAUACUUGUUGACAGCCUUGUGUCACAAGCUUUGCAAGAGAUCUACCCCCACCAUCAGAUGAUAAACUGAUUCCUCAAGGACUUAGUGCCUCACUAGGGAAUGCUUGGAACUGGCCUUCUCUUCCUUUUGGAGUUUCUAUCACAAGCUUUUGUCUGUGUUUGGUUUGUCAUUUCUGACUGCUUUCCUAUGUGAUAUGUAUCAACAGACAUAGCAGGAAAGUUAUUUACAGCCAACAAAUUGUCUUCAGCUUUAUGAUUCCAGUUGUAUAAAG